This 457-nucleotide long non-coding RNA is filed under the name Daphnia magna. RNAcentral's name for it is "uncharacterized LOC123475758, transcript variant X1". Lineage: Eukaryota; Metazoa; Arthropoda; Branchiopoda; Diplostraca; Daphniidae. The record is from RNAcentral.
GUGAAAAAGUAGGCAGUGGAAAAGUUCUGCUGAUUGUGCUGACCUGCACAAUGCCAGAUUCAUGUAAGCAAUCUUGAAAAUUUCCUGCAGUCAAAUACAUGACACCAAAGAAAAGAAUGCACAUACCUACUUUAUGUGACAAAAUUCCUUUGGCAGCAAUAUAUUUUCACAUGCUUGCCACUAACAAAAAUAGUUUGAAUUAUAAAUGUUCUCCUGGAAAAUCCACUGUUCCCAAUUUUCACACAACACUGAGUUACGAAAAAACAUUUUUUUUGCCAUUGCUGCUACCACAGGCCUGUGCUUCCACUGAUGUUUUUGAGAUCCAUACUCUUCAAAGUAUCAGUUCUAUCAUGAAGGAGAAUGAUGGGAGAAACAUCGACAUGCUAAAUUUGUGGGAGUAUGCUGAUUGCUGAAGCCUGACUGGAGCUAAUCCGCUUGGUGGCACCAGUCUGCAGUA